UGUUUUGUUUUGUUGGGGUUUUUUGUUGCGUGGGUGUUUCUUAAUAUGAAUAAUUACCAAAAAAAGUGCCCUAAUAGUAAAAGUCCUGGAGGUAUGUUAUCACAGGGUGCUGUUAAAUGUGCCCUCCCCACAACUGUUUUCCAGAGGGAGCAGUCUGUCUUUCAGGGAAAGAUUUGUGGAUGUAGGUGCUCAGGGAGAAUGGAGACACUUAACAUCAGCCUCAAUUCAGACUUAACAGGGUUUGAGCACAGAAAAAUUCAGAGUACGUCCAAAAGCUCCCUUCAGUAAAAUUGAAAGUAAAAUUGAAACAUGUCACUGAGUGGACUGAAGGAUGAAGCUCUGGUUUUAAAAUCAAUGAACAUUAUGAGAAACACUCCAGGAGUCAAACCUAAUACUACUGCAUUUCAGAGCUCCAAGCAGCCAAAACACUGUCCAAAUUCUUUUUCAAAAGCCUAAUUCCAUGUAACAGGCCAGAAUGCAUACCCGUGUUCUCACAGCAGGAAUACCCCGAAAUUUUUAGUGUAUGUCUUUCUGAAAUGUCAGUUAGCUGAAGGAUGAUAAUGAUUCUUUGCAUAAAGGAAAACGCUUAUUUUUGGCCAUGUGCAGACCUCCCAUCUUUUUUUCACCGGAAAGGAGAAAAAUAACGUCUGGAACAACUCUACAACACAAUACCGUGCUGCUGACUGCAGGUGGGUCGGUGGGAGAAUGCUGGUCAGGUUUCAGCACAGUUGUACUCACCAAUUUCAGCUUUCUGAUAUCGUGUCACAAGCGCAAGGCAGGGCUAGUGGACACGGCAAUAAAAUUACUGCAUGUAUUGCUAAAUUAAUUCAUUUGCCAACAUUGUCACAUGAUUUCUGAAGUAUAUGAAGGAAGUUUUAAUUUCCCUUUUUUGGCCAUAAUUACUAGCAUGAACAAAUUGACAGCAUGACCAAGCUGUCCGUCAGUUUUAUCAUAGGUUUUCUAGGCGUUUAGCACAAAGGUUAACACUCACAUGUGCUGCAAGAAUUCACUACCGCUGUUAUGUAGCACAAAAUCCAGCAGGACUGUGAUUGUACAUCAAAUAUGCACAGCGUUGUGACCAAUUCAUGGGAUCAUCCAUGUGGGGAGGAAAAAAAAAAUUAAAAAAUCAGAGUGUGCAGUGCAAAGAGGGUUUUUUUUAAACCAGGAAGACAAUCCUGGUUAUCCCAGCUUCUGCUCCCUUUUAGGUCAGAUCCCUUAACUCAGGUUAAUGCUGCGCUCAUCUUGCUCCUCUGAAUGUGGUGUUGCAGAGCUGUAGCAACACGACAGCCCUGGAAUUUUUCUUCACUCAGCUUGUGUGACACAGAGAGAGCUCCCUUCAGCAAGGAGCAUGCACGGUACAGGUGAAGAGUGACACCUAAAGGCAGAAAUGUGCUCAAGGCUCCGGCAAGGGCAACAUUCAGCCAACGCUUCAGCCUGUAAAUCAUCUGCUUGUUGUAUUUCUUCUCCAGCCAGACUGACUCGAGACAGUUCAUCGUGUGGUCUGGAGCGUUUCUUGGAUGCUCCAGAAUUAUGGACAAAGCAUAAUUCUACGUUAUCAAAGAGCAUUAGGAAGAAGAACAGUCAGAGCAACAACAACAUGGAAACUAAAUGAAAUAUUGCAAUUAAUUCAGCAAGCUAAAUGGAAAAUAUUUCCUUACCAAAUUUUUUGUAAAACAGAAUCCAGUAAGGCCUGUCUCAAGUGGUGAGUUUCUGUCAGGUAUUUCUUUAAGUGCUGUGUGUGUGCGAGUAAGUCAUAUCACAAUGCUUAAAAUGUUUGAAGGCAAGUUAGGAAAGUAAAUGACAUUGCAUAUAGGCAGCAGUUCAUUUCAAUUAGUGUGGUGUUUGGAGAAAAUAUCCCUGGAAACAUUUUGGCACAAUAGCUUUUUUUUUUUUCCUUACAACAUAACACUGAAAUAUGGGUGUAGACUUGCCCCCAGGUCACUGCAAUGCAGAGGAAAUUUUAUGUUCUCUUCCUUCCAUUCUUUUUAACUAUUGAAGAGUACAAUUGCUUCAGUAGUAUUAACAAACUAAUCUACCAGAGUGGGGUUUUUUUUUGCAAUUACUCAAGUGUUUAUGUGAGAAUGCAUUGAAUGUUUUUAGGAGUUUUUAUGUUGAAAGAAAAUACAGCAGGUUGUUAAGACUGAAGAACAAUCAUUUCAGUCAAGUUGUGCUAAUAAACUGAUAAUAAACACUAAUGAACUGAUAUGCUACUUGACUGCUAAGCAGCUGGUUGAAACAGCCCUGAAACUAUAAGCAAUUUGGUUGUUGAUGCUGUGUUCAGCAUUUUUGACUGAUGAAUAAACAUCUGACAGCCGUGCUGGCUGUCAUCACUCUUCUAGGAAAUACCAAGUUAAAUGAGCACAAUAGAACAAAAUAACACCCAAUAAUUGUAAACAGUCUCCCUGUAGGCAAAUGGUUGUUCAUAAUAUCAAAUCAGAACUUCACCUUCAGCUCAGGUCAAAAGUUGGUUAAAUACCACAUGUCCUUUUGGAGCGUUAGACUUUUGUAACCGUGUGUGAGAUUACCCCUAAAACACCUACACAUAUGAAUGCACAUCAUGGGUAGGGAAAAGUGGAAAACUAGGGAUGGCCAAUGCGUUGUCCCACCGUCUGAAUACAGGUGUGCUAAUUUUGCAUUGCAGAGAAGCAGUGGAUUCCCCAUCGUUCCCCUCCAUGCCAGGAGGACUUCUCUAAUUCUGUGUAGGGCUCUGAGAACAAUUGCUGUUAUGGAGGUUGUGGCCUUUGAUGUCAAAUAAUUCAAAUUGUAGGUUUGGCUUCAGUUGGCACACGAUGGUUCAGUAAUGUGAACCAGAAUAUUUAUUGUCACACAGAUUAAGAACUAGCCUAUGGUUUGCCUGUGGGAGCCCUUCUCUAACUAGCUCAUAUAGUUCUGACCUACCCAUUGAGAGAGUUUCAAACUUAAAAGACUAAGGCGGGCAGCUCCUAAGAAAAUUACUAUUCCUCAACUGAGCAGGACUUAAAAUAGCAAACAAAAGAACUAAUGUGAUGGGGAUAAAAGUAUGGGAGGUGUACUUUUAUCCUAUAAAAUACUCUUUAAAGUUUAACACUUUCUCUCUGUGUUCUUGAUACACUAAAAACUCAUCCUCCCCUUUCAGGACAAAAAUGUUGUAGGAGCAGAGUUCAUUGGUGUCAUGCAUUAGUCUCCUACUUAUCUCAGUCAUAGAUGCCAGAGCAGCAUAGAGUUAAAACCUCAAUGAGAAAGGGAAAUUCAGGUACUUGCUGCAGUCAUUUCUGCACCUCAGACCUCAUGUGUACAUUCUCCUAUACUAACACCACUCACACAGGUCCAAGGUUGUAUCCCUUCUUCAAGCAAAAACUCUUCCUUCAUUGUCUGAGGAGAUUUGGCUGAACAGGGUCAGAAUCAAGGUCAAGCCUUAUAUACAGAUGGAGGUGGAGAAAGAAACUGCUUAACUGCUGAGAUUAAAUGUAAUUAUUUUCUGUAAAAUAACUAAAAUAGCGGCUCAAGUGGUUUUGGCUCAUUUUUCUUUUUUACUGAUAGUGACUGAUUUUUUCAGGUGUGAGAAGGAGUUAAACGCACAGUUUCUCUACAGCAGUGUGGUGUAAGAGUCUGGCAGCUCCAUCCCCUUCUCUGCUUCCUGAACCACCAACCACCACCAGACUUUUCAGAAAAGUAUAGUAAUUUCAGGAAAUGACUUACCUGUGUCUUCUAUCCUGGACUAAUUAUAUUUUUUCAGAAGGAAGAACCAAAAAGGCACAAGAUUUAAAAAUUUCUUUGUAUGAAUAACUACUAUGUGUAUGUGAUUGAAAAUAAAAGCAAGUCUUUAAAAUCAUA
This is a long non-coding RNA of Pipra filicauda (Wire-tailed manakin), 3813 nucleotides long. RefSeq lists it as uncharacterized. The record is from RefSeq and is a predicted model, not a curated record. NCBI's taxonomy places the organism in Eukaryota, Metazoa, Chordata, Aves, Passeriformes, Pipridae. The transcript has 2 exons.